ACCGCCCCCCGCCGUCGGGCCCCGAGCUGCCUAGAUCCGCCACCCGCUCGGUCCGUGCUCCAACCGCUACCACGGCGUCUCGAUCCGUCGCCCCGGCCGCCUCCGAGAUCCAGUCGUCGACGCGGCGCCUCGAUCCGCCGCCGCCAUGCCUCGAUCCGUCGUCACCGUGCCUCCAGCGCCGUCUGCCGCCUGCUCAAGCCGGCGACGUCCGGCGGCUGCUCGGGCUCGACGGGUGGGAGAGCGUCACUGGCGCUUCGAACGGUCACGUGCGUACGUCGAACGCUAGAACCAGACUGUGCCACAUGGCCCAAUGGUAGCACGCGAAAACGGACAAGAUUCAUAUAAUAGAGAUCCCCAAGCACAAGCUCGACCAAAAACAAAACCAUCCGAACUCAACUCUUGCAUUUCCGCCUUAAAUAAUGAAAUGAAAAAAAUGUAAACUCCAGACUGUGACGAGCUGUAACUGUAAGACUGGAAGUCGAGCCAUCAGAAGUCAUAACACAGCAUCUUAAUACAGUUGAUUUAUUAGUUGAUUCUUGGUCCAAUGCUUCGAUCUAGGAGCCCAGGCUUCCCUGGCCCAAAAGAUCUCUUCCAAAACAGCCCAUAUCAAGAGACUCCAGCCCAGUUUCAGUUAUGAUAGCCCACUUGGCCCUUGGUUUUUAUUAUUUUACAGUAGAAUAAGUUCAUUUGAGAUCCCUAACUUAAAUAUCGAGUUUGAUUUUUAUCCUUGAACUACCCUAUCAGAUACAAGAGGUCUCUCAACUAUCAAAUUAGUAUAAAAUAAGUUCUAAUGCGGUUUGGAUGACGGUUUCAGCUAACGUGGCGCCUAUGUGGCUGGUUUGACUCAAUCCUAUGUCACAUCAAUGCCACAUUGCCACUUUGGAAUGAGUACCGAGUAAAACCAGCCACGUAGGCGUCACGUUAACCUAAACCACCAUCCAAACUGUCUUAGGACUUAUUUUACACCAAUUUUAAUAGUUGAGGCACCUAUUGUAUCUGGUUAGAAAACAAAAAUCAGACUCGUUGAUAAAAUAAAG
RNAcentral lists this long non-coding RNA (1037 nucleotides) under Oryza brachyantha (malo sina). RNAcentral describes it as "long non-coding RNA (OBRA_LNC000060)". The record is from RNAcentral. Lineage: Eukaryota; Viridiplantae; Streptophyta; Magnoliopsida; Poales; Poaceae.